CAUAGAGAUCCCUGCAUUCAACAGGAGGGGUGACGUGUUCAACUGGGUGGUCCACCUCCAAGAUUGUUUCAGGGAAAUGUGAUAAAUUUACAUAUCACACAUGAUGGUGGGAGGUCAGUGUCUUCAGAGGUCUCCUCCUCCUGGGGCCGUAGACAGGAGCCCCGGAACAGUCUGACAAAAUAGCUAAGAGAUAUCAUGUCCUCAGGAAACACCUCCUCACCAGGUCACUUUUCUCCAGGCACCUCCCUCCGGCCGUAAAUUCAAAGGAAACAACAGAACUGGCAGCACAAAUGGACUCAGGACUCUCAUGUGGCCUACGCUAAUUGGAUCAACCAUUCUUCUGCCAAUGGACAUUUUGCUGUGCAUGUGUGAUAACGCUCAUCUGGUUUCCCAUUGCUCCUGCAACAGAGAAGAAAAAAGAAAGGAAGAGAGAAACAAAUCAAAACCAAAAGCAAACCGAAGUCUUACGUGGGAAGGUGAAGUGCAGAUCCCUGACAAGUCACCCUCUGGGUGCGUUUCACAAGCGGAAGUUAGAACGAAUUGCUUGUAUUUGUUCUGAGCAACGGAGAGGAGAUUUUGGAUUCAUACGUAAUACAUCCAACAACGUCAAAUGCGGCUGCAAUUUUCAAUUGCAUUUCAUCGCCAGGAGGGAAAUAUUUAUCAUCCGCAAAAGUGCAUUUGUAGAUAACACAUUUUUCCUCCUAGCCAGAGUCACAGAUAUCAUAUGAAGGAGACUUUAGAAUGAGGGUAAUUGAAAUAAUACUUCUAAUUUUUAGUUUUCCCCCUGUUAACUCCCUGUAAAAACCAAUCACAGUACUUAGCACUGUUUUAUUAUAUACAUCUUUGGGUCUAUUUUCAUUCAUUCAUUCAUUUAAUAAAUAUGGUCAUGUGUCCCUUAAUGACAGGGAUACACACUAAGAAACAUUGUUAGGUGAUUUUGUCCUUGUGUGAACAUCAUUGUGUACCAACGCAAACUGAGAUGGUGCAGGCUUGCUGUAUGCGUAGACUGGAUGGGACAGCC
Long non-coding RNA from Nycticebus coucang (slow loris), 1021 nucleotides. RefSeq lists it as uncharacterized. The transcript is spliced from 3 exons. Lineage: Eukaryota; Metazoa; Chordata; Mammalia; Primates; Lorisidae. The record is from RefSeq and is a predicted model, not a curated record.